GCUUGACUGUAGCUUGUAAUUGGGUUCGGGCUUUUUUUGCGCAGCCUAGGUGGAGGCAACGAUGAUUUUUUCCGGAAAAAUUUGAGCCAUUCGUGAGAGACCACUCUGAAAAGGCUAGAAUCCUAAUAAUGAUCCUUGAAUCAGGACAUUUGACAGUUGCAGGUGGGCAGUUUUACUGGGGCGGUAUUCUCCUAAAAAGUAACGGAGGGGUGCAAAGGUUCCCUCAGGCUGGACGGAAAUCAGCUUAAGAGUGUAAAGGCAAAAGGGAGCUUGACUGCAAGACCUACAAGUCGAGCAGGGGCGAAAGCCGGCCUUAGUGAUCCGACGGUACCACGUGGAAGGGCCGUCGCUCAACGGAUAAAAGUUACUC
RNAcentral lists this ribosomal RNA (370 nucleotides) under uncultured alga. RNAcentral's name for it is "bacterial LSU rRNA". It matches the Rfam family "Bacterial large subunit ribosomal RNA", at positions 2098 to 2468 of the family's 2925-position model. The record is from RNAcentral.